Molecule: ribosomal RNA, 440 nt
Filed under: uncultured bacterium
Lineage: Bacteria
Description: partial 16S ribosomal RNA
Rfam family: Bacterial small subunit ribosomal RNA
Source: RNAcentral
CCUACGGGCGGCUGCAGUGGGGAAUAUUGCACAAUGGGGGAAACCCUGAUGCAGCGACGCCGCGUGAGUGAAGAAGUAUUUCGGUAUGUAAAGCUCUAUCAGCAGGGAAGAGAAUGACGGUACCUGAGUAAGAAGCCCCGGCUAACUACGUGCCAGCAGCCGCGGUAAUACGUAGGGGGCAAGCGUUAUCCGGAUUUACUGGGUGUAAAGGGAGCGUAGACGGCGAAGAAAGUCUGAAGUGAAAGCCCGCGGCUCAACCGCGGAACUGCUUUGGAAACUUUUUUGCUGGAGUACCGGAGAGGUAAGCGGAAUUCCUAGUGUAGCGGUGAAAUGCGUAGAUAUUAGGAGGAACACCAGUGGCGAAGGCAGCUUACUAAACUGCCACUGACAUUGAUGCUCGAAAGUGUGGGUAUCAAACAGGAUUAGAUACCCCUGUAGUC